GGGGCUACGAUGUGGGGGAACCUGGGGAACUCAGGCUAAUACCGCAUACGUCCUACGGGAGAAAGCAGGGGAUCUUCGGACCUUGCGCUAUCGGAUGAGCCCAUGUCGGAUUAGCUUGUUGGUGAGGUAAUGGCUCACCAAGGCGACGAUCCGUAGCUGGUCUGAGAGGAUGAUCAGCCACACUGGGACUGAGACACGGCCCAGACCCCUACGGGAGGCAGCAGUGGGGAAUAUUGGACAAUGGGCGAAAGCCUGAUCCAGCCAUGCCGCGUGUGUGAAGAAGGCCUUCGGGUUGUAAAGCACUUUCAGCGAGGAAGAACGCCUUGGGAUUAAUACUCCCGAGGAAAGACAUCACUCGCAGAAGAAGCACCGGCUAACUCCGUGCCAGCAGCCGCGGUAAUACGGAGGGUGCAAGCGUUAAUCGGAAUUACUGGGCGUAAAGCGCGCGUAGGUGGCUAAGUCAGCCAGGUGUGAAAGCCCCGGGCUCAACCUGGGAACGGCAUCUGGAACUGCUUGGCUAGAGUGCAGGAGAGGAAGGUAGAAUUCCCGGUGUAGCGGUGAAAUGCGUAGAGAUCGGGAGGAAUACCAGUGGCGAAGGCGGCCUUCUGGACUGACACUGACACUGAGGUGCGAAAGCGUGGGUAGCAAACAGGAUUAGAUACCCUGGUAGUCCACGCCGUAAACGAUGUCAACUAGCCGUUGGGUCCCUUGAGGACUUAGUGGCGCAGCUAACGCAAUAAGUUGACCGCCCUGGGGAGUACGGCCGCAAGGUUUAAAACUCAAAUGAAUUUGACGGGGGCCCGCACAAGCGGUGGAGCAUGGUGGUUUAAUUUCGAUGCAACGCCGAAGAACCUUACCUGCCCUUUGACAAUCCAGGAGGGACUUUCCAGGAGAUGGAUUGGUGGCCUUCGGGAACCUCUGAAAACCAGUGCUGCAAUGCCUGUCGUCAGCCUCCGGUGUUUUGUGUGAAUUGUUGGUUUAAGUCCGUUAACGAGGCGCCAACCCUAUUCCUUAUUUGCAGGCGAGGUAUGUCGGAAACUUCUUUAAGGAAACUGCGGGUGAACAAACCGGGAAGGAGGGUGGGGUACGACCUUCAAGGUCUAUAUCAUGCCUUAACCGGGUAAGACUACACCGUGCUCACAUGGCCAGGCUACACAAAUGGU
RNAcentral lists this ribosomal RNA (1163 nucleotides) under uncultured Cobetia sp. Its description in RNAcentral is "bacterial SSU rRNA". It matches the Rfam family "Bacterial small subunit ribosomal RNA", at positions 127 to 1251 of the family's 1533-position model. Lineage: Bacteria; Pseudomonadati; Pseudomonadota; Gammaproteobacteria; Oceanospirillales; Halomonadaceae. The record is from RNAcentral.